UUCGUGAGAUCCGCAGGUAAUACAGACACAUCAUAUUGUUACUGAAUUUAUUACUCAUCCAUAUGAAAGUUAUAUGCACAGAAACACACAAGAUCUCACUAGUCUCGAGUUUCAUUCCUUUACACUCUCAAUCUUGCAAUAAAUCCUUUUACCAUUUGAUGAUAUAUUACUCCAUUUUGGGAUCUCUAAUAGAUGAAAAGAUCUAAAAAUAUGACAUAUUGCUACUACAUAACAAUAAAUUAUAAAAUUGAGAAUCAAUACAGGGCCCAAAAACCAUCUAAAGUCCAAAUAGCACUGUUAAUAACAUGUGGAAACUUACCAACAACUGGAUCAAAAUCAAGUCUCAUUUUUUUUUUUGAGGGAUCAAGUCUCAUUUCUUAGGGCUCACUAUAUCUCAAUUUAUUAAAUUUGUUUAAAUUGAGAGAUAGAGCGUCUGAAGCCAUGAUAUUUGGUUUUGAUCCCGUUGUGUUUAAGUUUUCACAUGGUAGCAACAUUGGUCCUUGGACUUUGGAUGAUUUAUGACUCCGUAUUGAUUUUCCCAAUUUUAUAAGAAUUCUUCUCUUCUCCUAACUCAUUUUGCUCGCGCCCAAUUGAAAUAUCAAAAAUAUUCAUAUGUUACUUAACUAAUGCAAGUGUUAAAAUCUGCGCAACUUAAGUCACGCAACAUGAGUUAAGUUGCGCAUAGUUAUUCUAAUUUAUUUAUCCACGCUAUUCUAAUUUAUUUAUUUACAUUAUACUAAUUUAUUUAUUUACUUUAUUCUAAUUUAUUUAUUUACUUUAUUCAAAUUUAUAUUCGAAUUUAUUUAUUGAAUACGCAAUCAUAAAAUAAAUGCAACAAUUAACAAAAAUAAUAGAUAUAAAAUAUCAUUUUAUUAAUAUAAUUCUUAUUACAUUUACAAUGGGGUAAAACUAAAUUUGCGGAAAAAAAACCACCGGAAAACCUACCUAUCUGGGGUAAAACUAAAAAAAAAACCACCAUAAAACCUAGCUUGUUGUGGUAAAACUAAAAGAAAUCCACAAGAAAACCAGCCUUCUUGGGGUAAAACUAAAUCUACACAUUUAGGUUUACCCUUGAGGUAAAACUAAAUCUGCUUCGUUUUACCCCAAGAAGGCUGCUCACCAAUAACUUUUUUACCCCAAGAUUGACCUCUGUUUACACCUAAAUAAAGACUAAAAAAAGAAGAAAAAUACACCAAAAUAAAGCUAAAAUAAGAAAGAAAAGAAAGAGAUUCAUAGGGGGAGAUAGUGAGGAGGAGAGUGAGAAUGUGAGAUGGUGUGAGAAAAUGGGGAAGUUUGGAGGGGUAUUUAUAGGUAUGAAUGGUAACAUAGGUUAUAAGUACCAUAAAUGUAGUCAAAAAACGUGUAAAAGUUGUAAAAAAAACGUGUAGAAGGUAUAGGCUCAUACGACAAGGAUGACAAUUAUGAAGUGCAUCUUACUGAUGGUGAUUCAAAUUCAACUGUAACUACUACUGCUAGAAGACCUUUCAAAAAGAAAGCUCAUAACACAGAUUCAUCACCAAGUCAGGGAGAUUCUUUCCUGCAGAUUUUAAUGAGGUGUGGGGUCAACCUCCAUGCGUGAUUUCUGAAUUUCUAGCACAAUAAACACAAUUUGGUUAGCAAACAUAUAUAUAUAUAUAUAUAUAUAUAUAUAUAUAUAUAUAUAUAUAUAUAUCAAGCAAAACAGAGAAUAAUCCAACUGCACAACUUUACGAUUCGGGAAAUUUUAUAGUGAUAAGUUGACAUGUUUUUGUGGCAAAGUUAUGAUUACCGAUUUUAUACACUGGUGACAAUAAUGAAGCUUGGAUGGUAUUUUCACAAACAUGUUCAAUGAAAAAGAAGUGUACUAUGAGUAAUCAAUCUAAAACCUGCAAUAAACGUUUAUUUUUCAUGAAAUGUGAGACUCUUCCUCACGCUUAUAUAGCAACAAGAAGGUAUUUCAAAUUCAUUACAAAGUAAAAGAUGAUCGAAAAACUUUUGUAAUAAAAGUUAUCACAUAAAAAAAAAAAGAGGUGAUCACAUAAGAUAACAAUAUUAAUAUAUAAGUGAUUUUUUGUAAUUCACUUAGCAUGCAACUAAUUCAAACGGAACGGUAGAAUAUAUAAUGUUUUGAAUGUUGUUCAAUCACGUAAACCAAAUUGCAUAAUAUAAAAAGUGUUCUAUAAUUGAAAAAAAGGAAAAACCAAAAAUAGGCUAAAAAACACUAGCCCAAGAGACCUGCUUAAUACACAUAACAGAAGAGUUUUGAGAUAACUUGUAAAGUAAGAAAUUAUCCAUCUACGUUUUCGUCCUCAUCUUCCUCAAUUCCUAGCGCUGUCUGCUUGCGGAUUGGACAUAAAUUCUUCAACUCCAACCAUUGUUUGAUGCAGUCAAGAUGAAAGAUAUGCACACAAUCAAGUUACCAACUCUCUCGCCCUCCACAUAGUCCUCCUAAUAAACAUGAAAAAUGACGACUACGAGACUCGCACAAUCUAAUGUUUUUGGAUUUUAAUAUUUAGUUCAACUAUUCUUACAAAAUAAACUUGUUCGAAUAUCAUAGUAACUUUGUCAAAAACAAAAGAAUAUAGGUGUUUCUUUUUAUAAAAAAAAAAUAAUUAAGAUUUUAUUUCAACGCGGGACUUUGAUUUUCUCAAUAUCAUAUUGUUCCCUAAAGAGUUUCAUGUGCUAUUAGAAAAAGUUAAAUCACAAACUACCUAAAGAGUUUCAUGUGCCAUUAGAAAAAUCACAAACUAAAUUAAUUACAAACAAAUAAAUGUGAAAUUAAAUUUUGAGGUAAUAGAAAUGACAUUUCAAAAAGAAAGAAACAAGUAAAUCAAUGUUUUCCCAUCUAUUAUCACUAAAAAAGAGAAAAACAAUCUCUUAUACAUGCUAUUGUAAAAAGUUGAAACAGAUACAAAAAUAAGAAAUAUAUCUAUAAAAUAAAACGAGUUUUUAAUUUUACCAUGUCUAAACACUUAGGAAUGACAAAAAUAAGAGAUGGAUUUUUUUUUUUACGAAGUAAAUUGUGUUGACAUAAUCUUGAAAUUUCAUGUGUUUGGUUACACUCAAUUAAUUAAUGAAUGAAACAUGUAGUUGGCCUCACCUAGCAUAUGAUACAUGUUUGAUUAUGAGUACUUGUUUCCUCAGGAUUUAUCCGAUAAGUUUCCUGUUGAAUGUACAUAAAGAUUUCUUGUUCUGUCAGUCCUGUCUCGACACUCUCCCAUUGAUCAAUCUUGAGGAACAUUCAAUGGGAGAGUGAUCAAUUUCGGCACUUGAGAGUGAUCAAUGGGAAAGUGUCGAGACAGGAUUGAUAGAACAAGAAAUCUUCAGGUACAUUCAACAGGAAACUUAUCAGAUCAAUCCUGAGGAAACAAGUACUCAUAAUCAAACUUGUACUAUAUGCUAGGUGAGGUGAGGCCAACUGCAUGUUUCAUUCAUUAAUUAAUUGAGUGUAAUCAAACACAUGAAAUUUCAAGAUUAGGUCAACACAAUUUACUUCAUUAAAAAAAAAUUCAUCUCUUAUUUUGUCACUCCUAAGUGUUUAGACAUGGUAAAAUUAAAGACUCGUUUUAUUUUAUAGAUAUUUCUUAUUUUUGUAUGUGAUUCAACUUUUUACAAUAGCAUGUAUAAGAGAUUGUUUUUCUCUUUUUUAGUGACAGAUGCAAAAACUUUGAUUUACUUUGUUUCUUUCUUUUUGAAAUGUCAUUUCUAGUACCUCAAAAUUUGAUUUCACAUUUAUUUGUUAGUAAUUAAUUUAGUUUGUGAUUUUUGUAAUAGCACAUGAAACUCUUUAGGUAGUUUGUGAUUUAACUUUUUCUAAUAGCACAUGAAACUCUCCAGGGAAAUAUCAUAUUGAGAAAAUCAAAGUCCCACAUUGAAAAAAAUAAUAAUUUUUUUUUUAUUAUUAAAAGUCACUUAUAUUCUUUUGUUUUUGACGAAGUGACUCUUAUAUUCUAACAAGCUGAUUUCGUAAGAAUAGUUGAACUAAAUAUUAAAAUCCAAAAACAUGAGAAAUUUCAAGUCUCGCAACCGUAUUUUUUCAUGUGUAUUAGGAGGACAAUGUGGAAGUUGAGAGAGUUAUUAGACUUGAUCGUGUGCAUAUCUUUCAUCUUGACUGCAUCAAACAAUGGUUGGAGUUGAAGAAUGUCUGUCCAAUCUGCAAGCAGACAGCGCUAGAAGUUGAUGAAGAUGAGGACGAAAGCGUAGAUGGAUAAUUAGCCUAUAUUGGUUUUUCUUUUUUUCAAUUAUUGAACACUUUUUAUAUUAUAAAAUUGGGUUUACAUGAUUGAACGACAUUCAAAACAUUAUAUAUUCUACCGUGCCGUUUGAGUUAGUUGCAUGCUAAGUGAGUUACAAAAAAUCACUUAUAUAUUAAUUGUGUCUACCUCUCUUUUUUAUAUUGUUACUUAUGUGAUCACCUUUUUUUUAUGUGAUAUCUUUUAUUACAAAAGAUUUUCUAUCAUCUUUUACUUUGUAAUGAUGAUGAAUUUGAAAUACCUUCUUGUUGUUAUAUAUAAGCGUGAGUCUUUUCCGUUGAACAUGUUUGUGAAAAUCUCAUCCAAACUUCAUUAUUGCACUAGUGUAUAAGAUGGGUAAUCACAUCUCUGCCACAAAAACAUGUCAAUUUAUCACUAUAAAAUUUCCCAAAUCCAAAAGUUGUGCAGUUGGAUUAUUCUUGUUGGGUAAUGAUGAUGAAUUUGAAAUACCUUCUUGUUGUUAUAUAUAAGCGUGAGGAAGAGUCUCACAUUUCAUGAAAAAUAAACGUUUAUUUCAGGUUUUAGAUUGAGUACUCAUAGUACACUUCUUUUCCGUUGAACAUGUUUGUGAAAAUCUCAUCCAAACUUCAUUAUUGCACUAGUGUAUAAGAUGGGUAAUCACAUCUCUGCCACAAAAACAUGUCAAUUUAUCACUAUAAAAUUUCCCAAAUCCAAAAGUUGUGCAGUUGGAUUAUUCUCUGCUUUGCUUGAUAUAUAUAUGUUUGCUAACCAAAUUGUGUUUAUUUGUGUUGGAAAUUCAGAAAUCACACAUUGCCACUUUUGUUUGUAGGUAUCUCGGGUGUUUGAUACUUGUUAGUGUUCAAUACUAAGACAUGUGAUUACUUAUUUUCUAGUUGUUUUCCAUAUCGAUGUAUUCGUACAAGUGUUAUGUCCGAAAUUUGUGUAAGCGUUCGUAUAUCAUAGUUGAAGAGUUUCAAUACAUUAAAAAAAUGUGCCUUCAUUCUUUACUUGAUUAUGGACAACUAUAGAAAUACAGGUUAUACUAACAUUGUUGCCACAUUAAAAAACUUCUAUUAUUUAGUACAUUAAUAAUUAGUGAUGACACCUUGACAUAAUAAAUAUUUUAGUGUCAUUUAUGAUUAAUUUUGUAGUCUUUUAGGAAUGUAUUUUAUUAUUUUAGGGAAGUUUUGUACUAAUUUGAAGAAAUGAUCAAUAAAUAAAAGAAUUGCACUAAAGAUCUUUAAACCAUAUCAAUUAACCCAAACCAGACAACUUUAUGAUCAUGGCGUAUUUUGUACAAAAUGUAUUAAGUGAUCUUUUGAGAUAUAAUCACUACAGAUGUAUUAGUAAAGAGAAAUGAGACAAAAAUUGAAGAAAAUAAAUUAACCAACUACUUUCAGCUACGCAUCAUACAAGCUGCGAAGAAAGUCAUGGACAUGCCACUGUCUCAUGCCCAUUGUGCAGAGGAGGUUUGCACAUUUUGCAGUUAUGUUAUUGAACUGGUGGGUCACGAUUUCCUAUAUGAGGCAAGAAACAACACUCGUUUAGGGUUCAAUUUUUUUAUGAAAAGAAAUAUGAGGAAUGCGAUUUCUAAACAAUUCAAACUGAAGAUCAACCUUGGAAAUAAGAUUGGGGCUUUAUUAUCAUCAUCAUUAUCAACCUUGGAAAUUGGUUAAAAGUGUAAUGUUGACACAGUAAUUUUCACAGGUGAUCAGAAAAUUAGCAUGUGAGCAGUCUUACUGGAUGGUGAUGGACAAUUUGUAGCGGCGGUGAGUGAUGUUUUGAGGACUUCGAUGACACCUUUAGACAGUGAUACGUUGGGGCUGCUUCAAGGCCUUAAUUGGAUCUUAACUUUGGGUCAUCAAAAGGUCAUUUUUUAAUCAGACUGGAAGAUGUUGCUUGAUUAUAUGCACUCCAACAAGAUGAAUCAUUUGGAGUAUGAUAUAAUGGUGAAAAAUUGUAAAACUAUACUUCAUACUUAAAAUAGCCAUGUAGACGUGUUUAGGGGUGAUUGGGUGGUUUAAAGAUCCCGUCAAAUCCACCCAAAAAAGUAGGUUGGGUUGGGUGAUUGGGUGGAUAUGGUUUUAAAAAUGAAAAAUCCAUAAAAAAUAAUGGGUUUUGGGUAAAACCGGACCCAUAUCCAAUAAACCAACUUAUCCAAUAAUUUCCAAAUUUUAAUUUCAUUUUCAUAGGGAGGAAGAAGAAUAACAAAUGUUUUGAUCAUAAAUUUAGUUUAAUUUCUAAAAUUGACACAACACAUCCUCUAUAUUGAAAAUAAAAAAAUAUUAGAGUUACAAAUUAUGAUGUUGCAAUUUAUAGUUACUUUUAUGCUAAAGCAAUUUUACGUCAUCCAACUUUAAUUUAUUUUAAGUAUUCGAUGAUUAAAUUUUUUAUUUAAUAUUAAAAUUUAUUAUUUUAUGAUGCUAAAAUAUAGUGAAAAUAGGUUACAUAAUUAUUUUAAAAAAAUAAAAAGUUGAGAAAUUUUUAUGAAAAAAAUACAAGGACUCGUCGUUUAGUCAUUUCAUACUAACAAAAAAAAAAAGGGUAACCCACUACCCAACCCAAACCAAACCGGAAAUUAGUGGGUUUGCCCAAACCCACCCAUUAAUUUAACGGGUGGAUAUUUUACCUAACCCAAACCGGAGUACCCUAUAUGGUUCGGGUCUCGGGUUUGGCCAAACCCAACCCAAAUCGACCCAUGUACACCCCUAGACGUGUUUACUAGGCGUCAAGCAAACAGAAACAUUCAUGCUCUUACAAAGACGGCUUUAUCGCAUGCUUUUUGCAGUCCUUUUAAUGAAAUGUCUUGAGUUUGCUUGACAGUAAAAAAAGAAAAAAAAAAUUUAAAUCACAUUUGAUGUUUAAUUAUAAGUUAGGUGUUUGAAAUUAAAUUGGCAAAUCCUCAUACUCGAUUGUGUGUGAAAUUAUUUUUCGCUCUAUUGAGUUUAUGUGUAACAAUUUUGUGAAGCUUUUUUUCUUUUUGUUGACAUGUGAAACUUAUGUUUUUACUUUGUCAAAGGUGGAUGUAACGUAUUAUAUGGGGUCAGUACUAAUAAAUGUGACCAGGUGUUGUGUUUUUGGCCAUAUAAUAUUCUAAAACUUUUCUCACGAAAUAUCCAUUGGAGUGUGUCAAGUUUUUACAUUUCACUUCCAACUGUUCUAAUUUGAUUUUAGUUGCUUUGAAAGCUUAGUAGCUAUCUUCCAUCAACAUAUGCUACAGAGGAGUGUGAGCUUAGUUUUAUAGGAUACCAAAUACCAAACAAUCAAAUAUAGUUCAAAAAAAAUUUUUAGGGAAGUUGUACAUUAUUUUUUGUAUCAUUUCUUGGUUAUAAAUAACUUCUGUCAAGUUUUUUACGUUGGAUACCAAGAACAAAUCAACCAUUUUAUGUCAUGGCAUCGCAUUAGUAUUAUUAACACACGUUAGUAUUACAACAGAUAUUUGGAAAUAAAUAAAAAUAACUAUUAGUUGUUUAUUUGAGGAAAAAAAAUACUAUUAGUUUUGUUGAGCUUAAUUACUAUGCCAUGGACCUUUGAAUGUUCAACCAUAGGUAUUGGAAACGUGAUUGCAUCUAUUCAGCCAGAAGAAACAGACAUUCACCAUAAUGUGAGAAUAUUUCUAAAAUGAUAGGAUCAAAUAGAUAUGAAAUAUUCAAAUCACAAAAAUGAGUUCUCACUGCAAGAAAAUCACAGAUUUGCUACGAAUUAAAUCGUAGCUAACGCGCAGCUAAUAUCUAGCAAAACUCAUUUACCUACCAUUUUUUAGUUGUGAUUUAGCUGUCAUGAUCUAGCAUGGAUUGGGCGGCAAAUUACAUAGAAAAUAUUUCCUAGCUAACUGGAAACUAAUAUUUAGAAAUUCCUAGCUAUUUUCAAACUAAUACUAUUCAAAAUUUAUUUUUCCUAACUAUUUGGCUGGGAUAUUGACACAAUAAUUUUAAAGUAAAUCUCUAGCCUCAAGUUCCUAGCAAUUUUGUAGUUUCCUCCUAGCUAUUUAUAUUAUUAUAAUUUUCUUUUUAUAGUAUCUAAUCAAAAAGGGAUUAAGCUAAAUUGUGAAAAAAUAUAUAUACUUAAAAUGUCGAUAAAUAGUCAUUCAUUCACAAUCAUUGAUUAUCAGUGUACGCUUGCACUAUCCUAGCCAAAAAAAAAAACUCAAUUAAAAUCAUUUACUGAGAUAUAUCCCUUCUUCUCCAUAUAUUGAUUUGGUGCUUCUAAACAAUUGAGUUUAUUACAAGAAAUGUAACAACGGAAAUAAAGAUACGACACAUGUUCUUAGAACUAACAUAUAUUUUUCAAUCCGCUAUAAUACAUAACAACGUAGCAGAAGAUAAUCGAAGACAACUAAACCAUGGAGACGUGCCAUAGCACAACAUCUGUCCUUUCACAACUUGUCCUCCAACAUGCCUCUGAGAUUAGAAGAUUGAGUUUAUCAUGUUUUAGAAUCCACAACAUCUCAUAUCUCGAUUAAGAAAGGGAAAUAGCAUAAUAGGUUCACUAUAGCCUGAGUCCUUAAUUAAAAGAACUAACAAUAAGGAGAGGAUGUAAUCAUUGAGAAAACAAUUUAUCAAUCAGAGCAUGUCCAUUCUUACCUGCAGCAGGAAGCACCUAAGAAUUCGCAGCCUGAAAACAAUGACGAAAAUUAGACAAAGGCAUUCUAGGUGUUCCACCUAACAAUGAAACAGCCACUAAUAACUAGGAGAUGUUCACUAGUUUUACCCUAUAAUGAAAAGUAUUCUUACUCACUUCAUCCUCAUCAGAUUCAUAGCUGGAACUGAAACAAUGAAAACAAAUAUAUACGAACGAGCAGCUCAGCAUAAUUUCAGGUCAAAAUCCCAACCCCUCUCUAUAAUAACAUACACAUCUUCCAAAUACUCCAAUAUGUCCCCACAACCAAAGUAAAAUCAAAAAGAAAACAAUUUAUCAAAAGAUAUAUAAAAGAGGCAAUUCUAAAUAUUAUAACACUAAGCCUUUCUACGCAAUUAGAUUUGUGCGGUAAUCUUUCAACUAGAUCUAAGAGGCAAUUUUCCCUGUUUUUCUGAUUUUGGAGGCUUGACUCAUUCAGACGACAAAAAGUUUCAAAAUCAAAGGCAGAUAAGUAGGCCCACAAGUACCUCCAGUUCUUUGCUAAUAUGGAAGUUCUUACAGCAUCUUUGGUAGGGAGUAACGAAAGAAAAACUUAUACUUCUCACUAGUCCUAAAUAAUGUAUUCAAGCAUACAGCUACAACAAGAAAACCAAAAAUAAUGAUUAUAAUCAUUGCAAUUUACACUUCUCACUAGUCCUAACGUCUCUAAUCGUGAAAAGUCUCAAGUCGCCAAAACAUUCAUCAUAAUGUGAGAAUAUUUCUAAAAUGGAUUUGAAAUGUGAGAAUAUUUCUAAAAUCACAAGAAUGAGUUCUUCCAUGUUUAGCUGUGAUUAAUGAUGAAUCAUUACAUCUAUUUGUGCUUGAUAUGAUUGUAUGGAAUUGCGAUUCUUUGUGAAGGGCUCUUACUUCUCAUCAAGUGGUGAAAUUUGUUCCUAUUCGUAUAUCAUUUCGUUUAUUCUCAUCAAGGGAAAUUAGAGAAUGAAUGUUGACAAUUAUUUGUAUUGAAUUUAAUUUACAACAACCACAUCAUCAAGAACAACAACAACAAAAAAAAAACUUAGAUCGCAUAUCGUUCUCGUUCAUAGUCAUAAAACUAAAAGAAAGGAAAUACAUUUUUCAUAAAAUUAAAACACACAUCAUAAUCAUAAUAUAAUGGCAAAACAAUUUUACAGAUAAAAUAAUUGUAUUUUAAACGCAAAACACUUUUAUUUUUGGCUUGACAUGAGAUGGGAAAAAUAUAAUGGCAUCAAAUUUCAAAAACUGAAAACAUGAAAUAUAUUGGAGUAUUUUGUAAAUCACUUUAUUUAAUUGUUUGUUUUUUAAGUACACUUUAUUUAAUUGUUGAAACUAGCAGGAUCAAUAACAUACUAGUAUUCAAGUGCUCCAUUUUGUAUUUUUAUUCCAAUUGACAUUAUCCCAGCUAUGAUAUACACCAUCUUGCCUCACUGACCAAAAUAUUUUUUUAUGGUCUCCUUCUGUGUUAGGAUCAUACAAGUUGAAUGUUGCAUGUAAUGGUUGUUUACGUAUCCAUGUCAAUUGACCUUGUUUUGGCAAAAAGUUGGUCAAGAAAUUCAAAGGUACUCCUUGUUUCAAAACAUAAUUAGGUUUUUCAUUCACAAUGAUGAAAUGUAACUCUUCUGAAUUUUCAGGCAAAUCAUUUUCAACAAAGAGGGAAAGUACUUUUUCUGCAGGAGGUCGUUCAUAAGAUUGAAUAGAGACUCUACUACCAAAAGUUGAAUUAUUGAAAGACAUAACAAUCACAAGUAAUAACGAGAAAGAUUUAUGAAUUGAAAUAGACAUUUUGUUGACAAGGGAUUUUUGACAAUUGCUUUUUUCUGUUUUCUCUACCAUUUCAUUCUAUUAUAUAUAUGAAAUUUGGGCUGUGCUUCUUUUGUUUGUGAAAAUAAGACUAGUCAAUAUUCCCUAAAUAAAAAAUAAAAAAACUAGUCAAUAGACAUUAAUUUUUUUAUAUAAAAUCAAUCAACAUUAACUUUGACCAUAUAUAUAUUGGCUGAUUAUAAUAAUUAAACGAUGGUAUUAUUUUUGGUAAAUCAUAUCAGACAGGGUUUUCUCUUAAAUUUGUGUCAAAAGAAAAAAGUUGCUCACUUAAAUUUUAUUGAAAAGAAACAGUCAAACUGUUUCUGCAUUCAUGCCAGAGAAUUUCUUUGGUAAGAAGUUACCUUUUUAACGAUAUUAUUCCCCACAGAAAAAAAAAAAAAAUCAAAUCUUACUUUUUCUUUGUGCAAAAAGUUAAGUUAGUAAUUAAAUUCGAAUAUAAAUAUGUUGGGAUUUUUUUUUAUCAAAAUACAUGUUGAGAUUAUUUCUCAUGAACCGUUAGAGUGUGUGUUUGGAUUGGGAAAUUUUAAAGAAAUUAAAAUUUUAGGCAAUUUUUUUUUUUUUUGUGGUGGCUGGGGUUUGAACCCCAGACCUUGCAUAUUUUAUGCAUUAUCUAUAUCAACUGAGCUAAGCUCGCGAGGACAAAUUUUAAACAAUUUAAAUGAUUCAAUUAAAUUUCUUUCAUUUUUCAAUACUUUUGUUUGGGUGGAGUAAUAAAAAAUUUCAAUGUCAUCAUCAUUUUUGGGAAACUUUCAUAAAUUUUAAUUUUUUUUGGGCCAAAUUUGAAAAUUGAAAUUAUGGGCCAAUUUGUAAAUUUCAAAAAAUUUGAGGGGUCAAAUUAUAAUUUUUAAAAAAUUGAGAGGUCAAUUUAUAAUUUUUUGGAAAUUUAUUGGGGUCAAAUUGAAAAUUUUGAAAAAAUUAAGGACCAAAAUGCAAAAUUUGAAAGAUUAUAACAAUGAAGAAUUUUGAAUUUCUAUAAAUUUAACUUGAACAAAAUACUUCAUAAAUUCCCAUCAUUUUGAAAAUUCUUUAUUGGGGUCAAAUUGAAAAUUUUGAAAAAAUUGAGGACCAAAAUGCAAAAUUUGAAAGAUUAUAACAAUGAAGAAUUUUGAAAUUCUUACCUUUUAGGUGUCAUUUGAAUUUCUCUGAAUUUAACUUGAACAAAAUACUUCAUAAAUUCCCAUCAUUUUGAAAAUUCUUCAAAUUAUUAUCCAAACAAUGGAAUUCACCUCAAAGUAUUUGAAUUCCCUGGUAACAUUACAUUCCCUCAAAACAUUCCCCCAUCCAAACACAAUCAAUCACCAUGGCAGGUACCAAGCAAACAGCACGCAAUACUGGCGGCAAAGCACCACGAAAGCAGCUUGCCACCAAAGCCGCUCGAAAAUCAGCUCUGGCAGCCGGAACAGUGAAGAAGCCACACCAUUUUUGUCAUGGAACGGUUGCUCUUCGUGAGAUCCGUAAUUACCAGAGGAGCACUUCUAAUAAGGAAGCUUCCGUUUCAGAGACUUGUGAGGGAAAUUGCUCAGGAUUCAAGACUGGUCUGAGGUUCCAGAGUAGUGCUGUUUCUGCUGUUCAAGAAGUUGUUGAAGCUUGUUUUGUUAGUUUGUUUGAAGAUACUAAUAUUUGCGCUAUUCAUGCUAAGUGAGUUACUAUUAUGGCAAGGAUAUUGAACUUGCUCGCAGAAUCAGAGGCGAGAGGGCUUAGAUUUGAUUAAGAUGUUUCAAGUUAGGGUUUAGGGUUUCUGAUUUAUGUGUUUUUUAUUCUGUUUAAAUGGUUAGCUUGUUAUUAUCUUGUAACAGUGCUAUGAUUUUCAAUUUUCAUAGUUUUAUCAUUAUGCAUAGCUUUGAUUUGGUAUGAUUAUUUAUUAAAAGUUUUGUAGUCUUUUGUUUCUGUAACUUUGCAUAUGAGUCGAAUAUUAUUUUAGUAAGAUACUUAUUUGUUAAUGAUUGUCACUUUUCUAGGACUACAAGGAUAUGAUUAAGAUUGAAAAGUCGCAUUGAAACUUAUUACACAAAUGUAGACAAUGGACAUGAAAUUGACAGUGACGUGUGGACACCAGUAAUAAUUUGAGAAAAUAAAUUAUUUGAACGUAAUCACAUGUGUUGGUGGCUUGUUGUUGUUAGACAUUAGACAUUCUUUUGAUGAGAGGUGUUGGUACUACGAUGAUUGAAACACAAUUUACGCAUUCAUUUCCUUUUAGUCGAUUGUGGACAACAAUAUUCAGUUAUAGAUUUCUUCUGUACACCAAUGUAGAUAUCAAGACCUGAUCAAUUUUAUCUGAUGUGCAUUCAUUUGUUUUCAUAGUUCCACCUGAAACUAUCAUUGAUAAUGUAAUGGCUGCUUUGAGUUGUGGAAGUCAAUGUGAUACUAAUACUAUGGUACUUUGAAUUGAAGGUGUGUCUAACGCGUCUUUAGUGUCGACAAACAAAGUAGAAUCAAAUUCAAAACUUUAUCUUAGAUUCUAUAUAUACAAACAAAGGGGAAGGCACUUUUUUUGGUUCUAAAGAAUAGUAUUUGCACUAAUAAUUUUUUUUAACUAAAUAAUAACUUAUAAAAUUCAACCGUCUAACUGUGAUUCUUAUUUUAAUUUUCAUUCAUGCUUAUCAAUUUUAACAUAAAAUUAGCAUUCAUAAAUAUGCAAAAUUAAUAAAAAAAUAAAACAUAAAUACAAUUAAAGACUUUCAUGAAAAUGGUAUUCAAAAGGAACCAAGAUAACUUUUUUUACAAGAAUUCAAAAUGAAAAAAAAAAUUAUAUAUAUAUAUGAGUACAUUUUCUUAUCUUGAUUGGAACAAAAGAGGUUAACAAAAUCUGCAUGCUGUGUACUGUUUUCAGUAGUUAGUCACACAGCCAUUAUCCACAGAACCUUAAAGAGACUUAAGCUCUUGUGGCAAAUAUUUUCUGUUUUCCACUUUUAAAUAUGAUAAUAUCAUCUUGUUUUUAAAAAAAUUUCCUUUUUCAAAGUUUAGUAUAGAAACAUUGAAAUAAACAUUUUAUUAUUUUCAAUGUUGUCUAUAGAAAACUGGGAAAUAAAAACAAAGUGAUAUUAUUGUGAUUAACAGUCAACAUAUAAUGACCAUGACACCAAACAAGUCUUAGAUCUCUUGAAGAGUGGUUUUUGAUAGUAUACUGCUGACUGCAUCUUUUUCAUUCUGCCGCGCGCCAUCGGUGGCGGCAGAGUAUAAAAAGUCAGAAGCUGAAUGCAACUCAAUAAGAUAACAGCCACAGGAGAAAUGUUGACCAAGCAGUGAGAGCUAUGGCUGCAGCACUAUAUGUCCACAACAGAAUAACUGAACACUCUUCAUUUCCUACAUCAAACAGCUGAGCCAUUGUACCUACAUAAUGUAUCAUCAAAUUAAUUUUGAAGUUAGGAACAACAAUAUAAUAUAGGAUUUAAUUGAUAUGCACCGACAGUCUAAUAUAUAGAUUUUUACACUGUCAAUCAAUCAUAACUUUGGGAUCAUUAAAAAAUAUUUGAUUUCAGUUAUAUAUGUAUACCUUUAUAUUCAUACAAAAGAUGGUUUGUGAUCCAUUGACAGUGUAAAAAGUUUUACACUUAGGGUGCAUCAAAAUUAAUCUCAUGUAACGUAUCUAUGGCUAAUGAAAUAACAACUAAUGUACUUCAAUCAAAACAACUUCUAUGCAAAUAUGUAAUCUAAUCACUUACUAAUAUUCAUUGCUGGUGGCAUUGCAUACUGCAUCACCAAUGUAUACUGAAACAAAGGAUCCACUGGGAGAAAGCCGUAACUAGCCGCGGCUUUCACAAUAAACAAUCCAAUAACAGGUAGCAGGAAAAGCCGGGUUAUGAUGAUGCAGAUGAGUGUCAAUGGUUUUACACUUGAUGAUUUCAAGCCUGCCGUGAGGUUACCACCAAGCAAAAGCGUGAUGCAAGGAAUUGUUCCGUUCCUGCAAAGAAUUAAGUUUAAACACAUAAUUGUGUGGUUAAAAAAGAAGUAGAGACUUUACGGACUAUUUGAUUUUUAUGAAGAAAUUAAGGCAGAUACCCAAGUAAUUCAAGAGUGCUUUGGAUUACUCUAAAUGGAGCAUUGUCUCCAAUUAUUAACUUCCUUAACCAUGCAACCGCUCCAAAGAGGAAACCGAAAAACUGAUCAUGGAAUAAGUAAAUGUUAAAUUUGAAACAAAUGUAACAAAGCAGAGAAGAAAGCAAGCAAGAAAGAAGAUAAAAAAAGGGGAACUCACUAUAGAAAUUGCUGGAGGUGAUAUUAGUUCUGCUAGAAGAUGAGUUACAACUUCUAUUAUUCUUUUAAAAAAUGAUUGUUUCUCCUUCUUCGACUCAUGAGACUGAUCUUGUUCAUUAACCUAAAAAUCAAUAUAGUUGAGGACAUUUCAAAUUAUCACCGUCUGAAAUAAGAGUUAAAGGAAUUAAAGGACCAGGAUUCAAACCUGGUGAAAUAGAAAAAUUUAACAUAACAACUAAUAAGCUACAUUUGCCAAUUCAAAAAAAAAUUAUAGCAUAAUUUAGCUCCCAAGGUCUUACAAUUUGGCUUUCAGAGUCUUCAAUAUAACUCGACGGUAACACUUCUAUCACGGCGUUUUCAUCGUCUUUUCCCUUUAGAAGGGGAGUUUCUACAUUUCCUUCAAGAUCUUUGUUUGGUGCCUUUAGGAUCUCAGCAGCCUCAAGUGCCUUAAAUCUCAAUGAGCUGCUUCUUAUAGUUUGAAAAGUAUAGGUCCAUACGAAAAUACCACCAAGCUACAAUCGAAAAAUUAUCACAAGACAAUACAAUAAGAUACACAUACUUCUGAUAGAAGUCACGUCUAGUGUCCGACAUGACACUGACGCAGGCGAUUAUAUUCAAUUAAUCAUAUUCUCAAAUUAUUAUUGGUGUCGAUGUGUGAGUGCCGUGUCCGGUGUCUAUAUCAGUGCUUCAUAGAGUAAAGUAUAAAAAUGUGAAUAGGAUGAUGAUGCCUUACUGCCAUAGAGAAAGAUGCAUAUGAGAGUGCAUUACUGCGACAAACAUCACGUGCACCAAAUGGACCUCCUUUCUCAUCACAUAUUGCUGGGAUGAUUACAAUUGGCAAGUUUCCCAUGUUUCCUGGUUAAUUAAAGCAUAAUUCAUGAAAUCAGAUAAUUUUAGAUAAAGUUUUUCAUACAGUAACUUUAAUGCUAUAUUAUGUUAUAUUGUAACAGUUACAAUUAUUUAUCUAUUCAACAAAUGCAACUUUCCAAAAAUAUAUUUUAGAAAUAUCUCUCACAAUACCUGAUGAACAAGCAGCAAUAAUAAGACCUUCUACUUUCAAGUUAGGUCUUAGUAAUUUUACUAAUAACCAUCCUAAAAUCCCUCCAAUUAAGAAGGUGAGUCCAACAUUAACAGGCAUAAACCACCUGUAUCAAUCAGAAAUAAACAAAUUGAUUACCGUGAUAGCAAAAUCAGAGCUAUUUUCUGAGAGUCGAAAACUUAAAAGCCAUAUGUACCAUGAUAUCAUAUCUUGAAGUGAAACACUUUUGGCAAAACUUGAAAAUAUAAGAGAAGGAGUGAAUAUAAAGAAUACAACCUGCAAAACAGAUAAAGCAAAAAAACAAAACAAAGUCACUACUUUCCGAUUAGAAUCGGCUAAGGAACCUUAAAUCAAUGACCGAAAUCAAUGAAUGCAUGUAAGUGCGUGAUUUUCUAAAUAGAGAGAAAUAUUUGCUCUUCACAUUGAAAAUGUGUUAUGUGCAUAUACAAUACUAUAAGUGUUACUUAUAUUUAAAUUGAUUAAUAUAUUUAAUUUAGCUUGAAAUUGAAUCACUUACCUUGUUCAAGGAUUUCCUAAAAUCUGGUGAAAGAAGAUUAUUGAAAUACUGAGUGGCCAUGAAAGCUCCCAAUGCACUAACAAGUAAGACUUGAAUAACUGGCAUAGAAGCCACUUCCAAAAGUUGUACAAAACCCAUCUUUUCUUUUGAUUUUCUUAUUGUGCUGCAACUGAAUUAUACUAUACACACUUCUUGUAUUUGCUGCUGAAUCUGAACACUUUACUUUGAAUUUAUUUCUGUAGGUGAGAAAGAUGAAUGAUCAACGACCAAUUCUUAUUUACUGAGAUGUAGGGUCAAGGACCAAUGAGUCAGUGAGUACACUAAAUACACGUUUGCAUAAAUUUCUUAACAAUGAGACAUGACAUCAUAUGUCACGUGCUUGAUUGUUUAGACCAAACCAGAUGCAGUGACGACCACAUUUAACUUACUAGUAUCAAUCAAAGUGUAUAUUAUUGCCAUAAACUAUGUAACAUUAUUAAUUCAAAAAUACAAUGUUGUAUUGCUUUAUAUGCUGGUGCAUGACAACAUGAAAAAUUAUUGGUUUAAUGACAAUACAUCCUCCCUACAUAACUUACUCAUUAAAUGUGAAACUGUUAACAUCUCCGAUCGCCCACUAUUAGACAUAUGUUCUAAUUAAUAUGUCUAAGUGACUCGUUAGUAGGUUGGAUAAAAUUUUGAUCGGCUUAAGAGUACGGCUACUAAAGUCUUUUCUUUAAGCCGAUCAAUAAAAAAAUAUUUUUCAUUAGAUUAUAUAAACAAAAUGUUUCUUAUGCAGACAAAAAUGAUUCAUAUAAACUUAUUUGAUGCCUCACUUUUUAUUAAAAAAUUGUUGGAUUGACUUUCGAUAAACUCUAAUUCCAUCUUAAAAUUUGAGUUUGAUAACUCAAUCUUAUCAAAUUGGUUUAUAACACUUCUUUGACAGAAAUUUUUAUAACAUUUAUGAACACAUUUUCAUGUGUUAUCUCAUGCUCCCCCUAAAAAAUUAAGUAUCAUUCCAAACAAUCAUGAUAUAAUAAUAAUAAUAAUAAUAAUAAUAAUAAUAAUAAUAAUAAUAAUAAUAAUACAUUAUUUAAUUGUUAUAUUUCUUCAAAGAACGGAAGAACCUUUCAAUUGCAAACCGUAAAUGUCCAAUAUGUUAAAAGAAGUAUACAAUUUGUUUAGUUGACAUUUGAUUUAUUUAUUAUUUAAAGAUAAACCUAAAGUCAUAUAAAACUAGUGUACUCUAAUUUCUUACAUAAAAAAUGGGUGAUUUACUUUGUUAUAUAAAAUAUAAACAAAAGGAUAAGAGAAUCAAUGUUGAUUGUAUGCAAUGCAACUUGCAUCCCUCGAGUCACAUCUAAUUUGGUCAUUGUUUUUGUAAGUCACUUUUGAUUUAAUCUUCAACUCUAUUAAUAUUUUAAAAUAAUUUUUAUCUUUGUCAAAAGUUUCUCAAUUAGAUCUUUGUAUCUAUGUUUUUGUCACAUGUCAAGGGAUUUAAUUGAGAAAUUUUUGACAAAAACAUGAACUAUUUUGAGAUAUUGUCCAAAGUUUCUCGAUUAGAUCUCUUUCUCUUUGUUUUUAUCACAAAACGAGAACAUAAUUAAAAACUUUUAACAAAGACAUAGAUUAUUUUGAAAUAUUACUAGAAUCGAAGACUAAUUUAAAAGUGACUUAGAAAGACACAUAGAUCAAUUUAAUUGUUUACUCGGUCCAAAUUCUAUGUAGUGCAUGAGAGUUCAAAAUAAUUUUACUUUUUCAGAAAGAGUCCAAAAUAAUUAGAAUUUCAAAAAUUACAGGGAAAUGGGAUAAGUUUUUUAUUAUACGUGUUGCUACAGUGUACGCAUGAACUUGUAUGAAACAUCCUCCACGUGAAUUGAAAGGUUUAUUCCAUUGUUACGUCUUUGUGACAAAAAAUAUUUAUUAUGAUUGAUUGUUAAUUUGUUGUUAUAUAUAUAUGACAAUGUACAGCGAGCUAUUUUGUCAAAUUGCACAUAAUUGAAAAUAGAUAGAGGGACAUUGAACCAAUAGAAAAUUAGAGAGACUAAAAUCACACAUAACUCAAAUUAGAGGUACCAAAAUGAUAUCUUAGCCACAUAUAUUUUAGCAGAAUGGUCACGUCUCUGAAGAGUAAUAGUUUUAUUUAUACACAUAAAAAGAAAGUUAUAGUUGUAAAGUUGUACUACAAUUGUAUUAUUGAUUAUUAUUAUUCUUAUUAUAUGAUAAUCUGAUUAGAUUGUGUAAAUAUUUGGCCAUCGGAAUGUAGCUAGCUAUUAGCCUGUUAGAUGCAUUGUAUUUCCAUCAAUCAUUACCAUUUUCAUAUCAAGUCAAAGAAAAGAAACUUUCAAUUCAAUAAUCCCGGCUUAUACGUUGAGCUAAAUAUGAGUUGGUUAUACUAAUGGAUCUGUAGUAUUGAAGGCUCUUGAAAAAUGAUUAUGUUGCAAGAUGAUGGCCCUUUAAAUUUAAACAAAUAUUCCUAUUUUAAAUGAUAAGUCUCUAGUUAGUUUUUGAUGGAAGAAUAUCUUAAAUAACAAAAAGUUUAUUUAUGGUCCAAAUCUUUCUUAAAUUGUGUAGAGUCAAAAUUGCACAAUGGCAAAAGAUGAAUUUAAACCUUAAUUCAAAGGGCUUAAAACAAAGUAUAUAAUAUAUUAUCAUUAAAAAAAACAUGAAAGUAUAUAACAUGAGCAUAAACAAAGAAUAAAACAAAAACAUAUUAUACAAAUGACCAAUAAAUGAAAGAAUAUGCUUAUGCAUGUUGAAGCUAGAGAGAUAUGGAAUGAACCUGGGAAAUGGAGGCUUUGGGCCACGUCAAUAUUCUUUAGGGAAGCUGAGCCAAUUGUGCUUUGUCUAAAUGUGCCUACCUUGUCUUCUGUAUAGUAUAUAUAUGUAUAGAACUAUAUAUAGUUAUACGUGGAGAGGGAUAUGAAAGAAAUUGGCAAAUUGGUACCCCAAUCAUGUGGGAGUAAAAAAAUUGAUUAUUUCCUCUAACUUCAACCAAACCCAACGUAGUCAUCAAUGACGCAAGUGGGAUGAACACAAAACAAAUACGGUUCUAUGCGAUGGCUUUCAUUCAUAUAAUCCGUGUAAUGCGCACGGGUAAUAAACUAUGCAUUUUUUUUGUUAUUCAAAAAAACAAAUGUCAUUCAAAUGUUUUCUAGGUGUGUUCCUAUGAACUUAUCUCGGUUGAUAAGGACAAUGCAUAAUAUAUAUGUAAAGUUUGAAGUUCGAAUUCCGGAGUUACUAGAGACACAAAAGAUCUUAAUUUUACUAAAUUUAUUACUCAUCCUGUCAUCCAUAUGAAAGAUAUGUGCACACAAUGACUCAAGAUCUCAAUAAACUAGAGUUUCAUUCCCUUCCGGUCUCAAUCUUGAAAUAAAUCCUUUUUACCAUUUGAUAAUUUAGUUCUCCAUUUUGAGUUCUCCAAUAAAUUAAAAGAUCUAAAAAUAUGACAUUAUACUACUACAUAACAAUAAAUUAUAAAAUUCAGAGUCAAUAUGGGUCCAGAAACCAUCCAAAGUCCAAGUAUCAUUUUUUCUACCAUCUGAAAACUUAACAACAACCGGAUAAAAAUCAAAUCUCAUAGUUUUUGAUGCACUAAUGUUGGUUGAAGAUAGUGUGAAAACAUCAUAGUGUAGAGAGACUAGCUAUGAUCAAAAUGUAGUUUUUUUUUUUUUUGUAGAUAGACGAAAUGGCAAAGCCAUUAUAAAACUCACACACACAAGUGGAGGUACCGGGGUUCGAACCCCGAUCAUAGCAUCCGGCCUAACAAUUUCGGCAUUUUGCCAGUUGAGCUAGGACUUCUGCAUAAAUGUAGUUCUUUAUUUGACCAUAUGCUGGGGAAGUUAAUUACCUCAAUUUCUUUCCUUCACUUUUUAUGUCGUAGAAACACACAAUCUGUCAAUAAAUUAACUUGAAACAUAUACAUAUUCUCCAAAAGUUAUUAUAUAUAUCACCCAAAAAAAUUAGGAUUUUAUCGGAUUCAUAUUUCAAAGGAUAAAAUAAAAAUUUAUAAUUAUUUUUUUCAAGGAAAAAGUUAUAAUUGUUGUUGACAAGAUAAGAACUUCUAUUUAAAAUAUAUUAUUUUAUAUAAUAUAUACUAAAUUGGUUCAAUUUGGUUAUAUAAUUUGUCGUUUAUUUUUUUGUUGUACAUUUAUCUUUAAUAUUUGUAAAUAGAACAAAUUAUCAUAAUUGUUAUAUUUUUUGUAUAUAUGCAAUGAAUUAUAAACAUAAAUUGGUUACUAAUUAAAUAUAUUCCAUAAAUUUUUUUAUUUGAUUACGCUCUAACUUUAGAGGAUAAAAUUUUAAAAAAAUUCUAGUGGUGACAACAUGUGAACACAUUUAAUUAGUGACAUUAUCUUCAACCAACAUUAUCCCAUAUAUCUAUGUCUUUUAUUUCAAGGCAUAGAUUUGAGGGAUAGUGUUGGUUGAAUAGUGUCAAUAAUUAAAUGUGUUAACAUCUUGUCAGGGAUACUGGAAUUUUUUUUAAAAUAUUAUCCUCUAAAAUUAGACCGUAAUCAAAUCCAAAAAUUUAUGGAAUAUAUUUAAUUAGUAUCCAAUUCAUGUUUAUAAUUCAUUGUGUAUAUACAUUAAAAAUAUAACAAUUAUAAGAAUUUGUUCUAGUUACAAAUAUUAAAAACUAAAUGUGCAACAAAACAUUAAACGACAAAUUAUAAAACAAAAUUGAACCAAUUUAGUAUAUAUAAGAGACGCAUUGUUGUUUCUGCUCUUUGAGAUACGAAUAUUUGCUAUUUAUGCUAAAAGCGUUACUAUUAUACCUAAGGAUAUUCAACUUGCCAAAAGAAUCGCAGGCGAGAGGGUUUAGAUUUGUUACGAUGUGAAAAGUUAUAAUGGUGAAGUUUGUGUUUUAUAGCUUGGGUUAUGUUACUGAUUUAGAUGUCUAUUUUCUUGUAACAAUGCUCUGACCUAUGAUUUUGUAAUAUUAUUGUUAUGCAUUUUUUUAUUUAGUGUAUUGCUUUUGUUUGUGUAACUUCGCAUAUAAAUUGAAUAUUAAUUUUUUAAGUUAAUCUAGUUGGGUUGGUUAAGUGGUGUUGGCUUGAGAUAUUGGAGUGUGAUCCUCCUUAAAGUUUUAUGUUUAAUUUUUUUUUGUGACAAUUUGGAUGAACUGGUUUAGUUUUUUGAAGAAAAAAAAAAACUCUUUAUAAUUUAAUGAUUUUUUUUUCUCAGACUAAGAGGGUAUGAUAAAAAUAUAAAAUAAUUGAAAUUUAAUGGCUUGAAAAAAAAUGAGUUAUAAAUUAAAAGAAAGGAAGGGUAUGGAAACACAUAGAUAAAUGGAGAGGUUUGUCUCGUGCUGCUGCUCGUAAUACAUGCAUAACCGAAUAGUAUUUGGGUGACAUUAUGGUUGUUGACAUUGGUAAUAUUGAUCAACCACAAUGUUACAAGUGUACAAAAAAACAAAAACAAAAAACUUAUGAAAGAGGGAGCGAGAGAAAAGAAAAUCACUUAUAACAUUAUGGUUGAUCAUUAUCACCUACCACAAUAUCACCCAUGAACAACCACCAACCCUAAUCUGUUUGUCCAGCUCUAUGCGCAUUUUCUCAAAUGGAAUGGAAGAAAGAACAUAUUAAUUAAAGAAACUCAUCUUUUUUAUCUCUUCCUAACUAUAUGUUUAUAACUUUCUUUGAACUACGGUUUCAAACUUGUAGGAAGUUUUGUUCCCUUUGAUGCUCACUUUCGUAGACAAUAAUGGAAAUUUGAUGGCUUAAAAAGCUUGGUAGCAGUGUCACUUUUGACCGUAGGUGUGUGAGGUGUUUUUACAUGUAUUAGUGUUUGACACUAACAUAUGUGAUUCAUUUGUACUCCUAGUUCCACUUCAAAUUAUCAUUUGAUAAUGUUAUGGCUGAUUUAAGUUGUGGAAGUCAAUGGGAUACCGAUGCUUAUUGUUGACACAAGUAUGCAAUUGUAUGAUAUAAACACGUGUUGCCACAUUAAAAAUUUCUACUAUUAUUAAUAACGAGUGAUGACACCUUGUCAUAACAGUAUUUUAAUAAGACAUUUUGCCAUCUUUUAGGCAAGUACUUGAAUGUUUUAGUUGAGUUUUCUAAUAAGUUGAAGAAAUGUUCAUGAAAUAGAAGAAUUACACUGAAGAUCUUUAAACUAGACCAAUUAAUCCUAACCAGGCAACUAUGUGGCCAUGUUGUACUCUUUAGAAGAAGUAUCAAGGGAUCCCUUAGGGUAUAGUCACUAGACGUUUCAGUGAAGAGAAAUGGGACAAAGAGUGAAGAAAAUGAAUGAACUAGCUACGCCUCGUGCAGGCUGAGGAAAAAAAAGGAAUGGACGUGCCACUACCUUAUGCGCAUCACACAGAGGAGGCUCGUGUGUCGCACAUGUCUGUUACUGAACUAGUGGAUUGCAAUUUCCUAUAUAAGGCAACGGACAAAACUGGUUUAGCGUUCGAUUUUUUAUGAAAAGAUGUUGAGGAAUACAAUUUAUGAAGGAUCUAAAUUGAAGAUCAAACUUGGAAACAGGAUUGGGGCUUCUACAUCAUCAUCAUCUAUUCAUGUAUAAUUCUUCAUAAAUAUUAGUCAUGUUUAAUUUCAUCAUAAGUUGUUGAGUUUUUUAGAUUAGGUCAAGUAGAUGAUCUUCUUCGUAGUUUCCUGAACCAUAUAAUCCAUAGAGUACUCUUUUACGCAAUUGCAAGAUUAGUCUUUAUUCGGUUAAUCUUUGUUCUCAAUGACUUUUGUAUGUUUACUAAUAUAUAAAUUUAUCUAGGUAUCAAAUGGCUACUAACCCUAACGUUUGAGACUUUACCUAAGUUAAGAGUUCAAUCAAUAAUAGCUUUAGACAUUGUAUUAUCUCAUUUGUGAUACUUAGUUUAAC
RNAcentral lists this long non-coding RNA (23173 nucleotides) under Medicago truncatula (barrel medic). RNAcentral's name for it is "long non-coding RNA (MTRU_LNC002913)". Lineage: Eukaryota; Viridiplantae; Streptophyta; Magnoliopsida; Fabales; Fabaceae. The record is from RNAcentral.